This 638-nucleotide long non-coding RNA is filed under the name Homo sapiens (human). Its description in RNAcentral is "novel transcript". The record is from RNAcentral. Lineage: Eukaryota; Metazoa; Chordata; Mammalia; Primates; Hominidae.
CAUUACUAAGUGGCUUUAACAUAGAACCGCGCAGUUCGCCUAAAGGAGACUGGGGACAAAAUGGAGGGAGCAGCUCGCUAAUGAACAUGCGUCAGCACGUUGGUGUCCGCGGAGAGGGCGCGCGUGUGGCGAAGUCUUCCGGCGUCCCCGAAGGAAAAAUGCCUCUGCAACGUGCAUUUUUGAUGUGAAGUCGUGUUCCACGUUUCACUCCUCCCUAAGACUGCGACAUAACGUGAAACAAAAUACUGCAUAUUGUCGAGCUCAAUGGAGAACGCGUGCAUGCAGGGUCGAGCCCAUUUUUCAGCCAUCAAAAUAAUACAAUGCAAUUUUUUCUAGUAUUUAUAAUUUUUCCCCUUUAACUUUAUGCCUCCUUUAUGUACUUCUACAUUUCACGUUUAGGUUAUAUGUAACCUAAGGGCACUCCUUAGGAAACUGGACUUGUAGAAUAUGUCAUUGUGCAAAGUCAUGCUGCUUCGAAUUAUGCUGCGCGCUGGCACACAGCAAGCGCUCAGUGUUAACGAUGUCGAAUUCAUAUUAAGUACUGUUCAUUGGGCGUUUUCUUACUCCGUAAGGACCUUACUUGCAUGCCCAUUUGAUACCUUUCUACAAUCCCAGUAAAAUACACAGUUAAGGUUGUG